GGUUGAUCCCGCCAGACAUAUAUGCUUGUGUAAAGGAUUAAGCCAUGCAAAUGUAAGUAUAGAGACUCGCACUCUCGAAACUGUGAACGGCUUAUUAAAAAAGUUAUAAUUUACUUGAAUGGGGGAACUACAAACAGUUCCAAAUAUAUAUGUGGAUAACUGUAGGAAAUCUAGAGAUAAUACAUGCAAAAAGGGGAGAGGGGCAGCAAUGUUCUGAUCCUCGCGUUAACUAGAUUCACAUCAAGAGAGUACAACACUCCGCUGAUGAAACACAGUUUACCAACUAGCAGAGCGAGAUUGAUCGCCGCUUCAUUCAAAUUUCUUAUCUAUCAACUUUCGAUGGUAAGAUAGGGGCUUACCAUUGUUGUAACGGGUGACAGAGAAUUAGGGUUCGGUUCUGGAGAAAGAGCGGUUAGAAACGGCUAUUAUUUCUAAGGAAAGCAGCAGGCGCGCAACUUACCCAAUGAAGAUACUUCGAGGUAGUGACAACAAAUAACGACGAGGCAAAGGGGCGGUGUAACAGCCGCCUCUCUCGAUUGUAAUGAGUACAAUGUAAACAAAUUAAUUAGAAUCAACUAGAGGGCAAGUCUGGUGCCAGCAGCCGCGGUAAUUCCAGCUCUAGUAGCGUAUAUUUAAGUUGUUGCAAUUAAAAAGCUCGUAGUUGAAAGUUGGCGGGGAUCAUGUGCGGGUGUGUCCGUGUCAAAGCGGAUGUGCUCCACUCCCUAAUACAGCCAUUAAGCGUGCAGGAGGGUAUGCGCAUCGAUGAAAGUCUUUGCGUAUAAACUGUUGUACAAUUCACCAUAAGUAAAAUAGAGUGUUUAAGGCAGGACGUACACGUCCAUUGAAUAAUAGAGUAUGGGAUGAUGGAAGACGAAAGAAACGUGGAUGUAUUCUUGCAAGACGCAGCAAUGCGGCUUGUGUCUCGUUUCUUUAAUGAUUAACAGGGACAAUCGGGGCGAUUGGUAUUUCUACACGAGCGGUGAAAUGCGUAGACUGUAGAAAGACCGACUAAUGCGAAAGCAUUUCGCAAGGGUGUUUUCGUUAAUCAAGAACGAAAGUUAAGGGAUCGAAGAUGAUUAGACACCGUUGUAGUCUUAACCAUAAACAAUGUCGACAAAGGAUGGGGUUGGAGAAUGCAAUCAUUCUCUUAAAGCACUCUGUGCUACAAGUACUAACCAGAAGGCAGUAGCGAUACUGUCUUCACCUGUCUCUCCCUGGACUUCGUAAGAAAUUAAGAGUGAUCGGACUUUGGGGGGAGUAUGGUCGGAAG
Molecule: ribosomal RNA, 1270 nt
Filed under: uncultured soil eukaryote
Lineage: Eukaryota
Description: SSU rRNA
Rfam family: Eukaryotic small subunit ribosomal RNA
Source: RNAcentral